This is a small nuclear RNA of Octopus sinensis (East Asian common octopus), 106 nucleotides long. The record is from RefSeq and is a predicted model, not a curated record. NCBI's taxonomy places the organism in Eukaryota, Metazoa, Mollusca, Cephalopoda, Octopoda, Octopodidae.
AUAUUACUUUGGAAAUAUAUAUACAAAAAUUAGAAUGAUGCAGAGAAGAUGAGCAUGGUCCCUGCACGAGGAUGACGUGCAAAUUCAUGAAGCAUUCUGUAUUUUA